This 274-nucleotide ribosomal RNA is filed under the name uncultured bacterium. RNAcentral describes it as "partial 16S ribosomal RNA". It matches the Rfam family "Bacterial small subunit ribosomal RNA", at positions 523 to 796 of the family's 1533-position model. The record is from RNAcentral.
AUACGGAGGGUGCAAGCGUUAAUCGGAAUUACUGGGCGUAAAGCGUACGUAGGCGGUUCGUUAAGUUAGAUGUGAAAGCCCCGGGCUUAACCUGGGAACUGCGUUUAAAACUGGCGAACUAGAGUUGAGUAGAGGGGAGUGGAAUUUCAGGUGUAGCGGUGAAAUGCGUAGAGAUCUGAAGGAACACCAGUGGCGAAGGCGGCUCCCUGGACUCAAACUGACGCUGAGGUACGAAAGCGUGGGUAGCAAACGGGAUUAGAAACCCCAGUAGUCC